Molecule: ribosomal RNA, 392 nt
Filed under: uncultured Prochlorococcus sp.
Lineage: Bacteria; Bacillati; Cyanobacteriota; Cyanophyceae; Synechococcales; Prochlorococcaceae
Description: bacterial SSU rRNA
Rfam family: Bacterial small subunit ribosomal RNA
Source: RNAcentral
AACGCUGGCGGCGUGCUUAACACAUGCAAGUCGAACGAACCUUCGGGUUAGUGGCGGACGGGUGAGUAACGCGUGAGAAUCUGCCCUCAGGAGGGGGAUAACGGUUGGAAACGACCGCUAAUACCCCAUAUGCCUACUGGUGAAAUGAAUUUCGCCUGAGGAUGAGCUCGCGUCUGAUUAGCUAGUUGGUGAGGUAAUGGCUCACCAAGGCUUCGAUCAGUAGCUGGUCUGAGAGGAUGAUCAGCCACACUGGGACUGAGACACGGCCCAGACUCCUACGGGAGGCAGCAGUGGGGAAUUUUCCGCAAUGGGCGAAAGCCUGACGGAGCAACGCCGCGUGAGGGACGAAGGCCUCUGGGCUGUAAACCUCUUUUCUCAAGGAAGAAGAUAUG